GAAUACACAGAGACUUCUAGGCUACUUAAAGCCAUGGAUGUCUGGUGCCAGUGUGGUAGCUGUACCACAGGGAGGGGAGUGUCAUGGAGGAUGUAGCCAGCAAUUGGAAACAGCCUAAUGCCCAUCACCUGAGCAGUGGAUAAUGAAACUGUGGUGCAUCUAUACAAUGGAAUAUUACUGAGCUAUUACAAGGCAUGAAACUAUGUAAUCUGCAUGAAGAUGGUUGGGCACAUGAAAAGUAUGUUAAAAAUGGAAACAUCUUUCCCUUCAUUUGGAAGAGUAAAAGCUCGUACUUGGCUGGAAAAUGACAUCUAAUGGAGGAGGAUGAUAAUUGGUGCUGAGUAGAAAGCUCCAAGGUCAGGCAUGACUCCUCCCUGCUCUGUGACACUGCGUCCUUGGCGUAGGACAGGAGGUGUUCAACAUCUCUUCAUAAAGGUCAGCUUUC
Molecule: long non-coding RNA, 445 nt
Organism: Rattus rattus (black rat)
Lineage: Eukaryota; Metazoa; Chordata; Mammalia; Rodentia; Muridae
Exons: 3
Source: RefSeq, a predicted model, not a curated record